GGAUGAACGCUGGCGGCGUGCCUACUACAUGCAAGUCGAGCGAACAGAUGAGGAGCUUGCUCCUCUGACGUUAGCGGCGGACGGGUGAGUAACACGUGGAUAACCUACCUAUAAGACUGGGAUAACUUCGGGAAACCGGAGCUAAUACCGGAUAAUAUAUUGAACCGCAUGGUUCAAUAGUGAAAGACGGUUUUGCUGUCACUUAUAGAUGGAUCCGCGCCGCAUUAGCUAGUUGGUAAGGUAACGGCUUACCAAGGCAACGAUGCGUAGCCGACCUGAGAGGGUGAUCGGCCACACUGGAACUGAGACACGGUCCAGACUCCUACGGGAGGCAGCAGUAGGGAAUCUUCCGCAAUGGGCGAAAGCCUGACGGAGCAACGCCGCGUGAGUGAUGAAGGUCUUCGGAUCGUAAAACUCUGUUAUUAGGGAAGAACAAAUGUGUAAGUAACUAUGCACGUCUUGACGGUACCUAAUCAGAAAGCCACGGCUAACUACGUG
This 498-nucleotide ribosomal RNA is filed under the name uncultured bacterium. RNAcentral's name for it is "partial 16S ribosomal RNA". It matches the Rfam family "Bacterial small subunit ribosomal RNA", at positions 27 to 507 of the family's 1533-position model. The record is from RNAcentral.